GAUGAACGCUGGCGGCGUGCCUAAUACAUGCAAGUCGAGCGAACGGACGAGAAGCUUGCUUCUCUGAUGUUAGCGGCGGACGGGUGAGUAACACGUGGAUAACCUACCUAUAAGACUGGGAUAACUUCGGGAAACCGUAGCUAAUACCGGAUAAUAUUUUGAACCGCAUGGUUCAAAAGUGAAAGACGGUCUUGCUGUCACUUAUAGAUGGAUCCGCGCUGCAUUAGCUAGUUGGUAAGGUAACGGCUUACCAAGGCAACGAUGCAUAGCCGACCUGAGAGGGUGAUCGGCCACACUGGAACGGAAACACGGUCCAGACUCCUACGGGAGGCAGCAGUAGGGAAUCUUCCGCAAUGGGCGAAAGCCUGACGGAGCAACGCCGCGUGAGUGAUGAAGGUCUUCGGAUCGUAAAACUCUGUUAUUAGGGAAGAACAUAUGUGUAAGUAACUGUGCACAUCUUGACGGUACCUAAUCAGAAAGCCACGGCUAACUACGUG
This 497-nucleotide ribosomal RNA is filed under the name uncultured bacterium. Its description in RNAcentral is "partial 16S ribosomal RNA". It matches the Rfam family "Bacterial small subunit ribosomal RNA", at positions 28 to 507 of the family's 1533-position model. The record is from RNAcentral.